Sapajus apella (tufted capuchin) is the source of this 7724-nucleotide long non-coding RNA. RefSeq lists it as uncharacterized. The transcript is spliced from 2 exons. NCBI's taxonomy places the organism in Eukaryota, Metazoa, Chordata, Mammalia, Primates, Cebidae. The record is from RefSeq and is a predicted model, not a curated record.
UGCAGUGAGCUGUGAUCAUGCCACUACACUCCAGCCUGGAUGACGGAGCCAGACCCUGUCUCUAAAAUCAAAAAAGCAGACAAAGACACGAAAACACAGAUUAGCCUAUGUCUAUACAGGGUCAGGACCAUCAAUAUCACUGUCUUCCACCUGGACAUCUUGUCUUGCUGGAAGGUCUUCAGGAGCAGUAACACGCGUAGAGCUGUCAGCCCCUGUGAUAACACUGCCUUCUGGAAUCCUCCUGAAAGAUCUACCUGAGGCUGUCCUACAUUAAUUUUAAAAAAAUAAGCAGAGGGAGUACACUCUAAAAUGACGACAGAAAGUGUAGCAUAGUAAAUAUAUAAAAUAGCAACAUAGCUUUUUAUUAUCACGAUCAAGUCUUACAUAUUGUACAUAAUUGCAUGUGCUAGACUUUUCUAUGACUCGCAGUGCAGUAGGUUUGUUUACACCACAACACUGCAAACACUUGAGUAAUGCACUGGGCUACAACAUCACGACAGCUACAAUGUCACUAGAGGAUAGGAAUUUUUCAGCUCCCUUAUAAUCAUGUGCGACCACUGUCAUAUACACAGCCCAUUGUUGACCAAAUUGUGUUUACAUGGCGCAUGAUUGUAAUGUGUGCGGUAUGUAGAUUUACAAUGAUUGGAGGAGCUGUUAAGUCUGGAAGGAGUGAUAUAGUCACUCCUGGAGGAAGUAGGGUAUGUAGUCAUCUGGGUUCCAUUUGGGUGCUUGAUUCUCUAAUCAGCCCUGGCUGGGCUUGGGAUGAGUCAGGUCUCUCAUCUGCCCUUACUGACCAGCACUGGAGAGCCACUGUCUGUCUCAUAGCCUAUCUUUGUGCCUGACGAGCAGGGGUGCCUGGCUUUGGAAGAUUACACUGAGGUAGAAGUUAAGGUGGGGUCUGAGGACAGAAUGCUUUGGAGCAGAGGCAGCGAAUGUAGUAGUGAUGAAAGAGGUGGCUGCUUUAAAAUAAGAGAUUGUCCAGGAAGAAAUGGCUCUGGCAGGAUUAGCCCUUAGCAUUUAAGCCCCACUUGCUUCUCCUGAAUUGUUAUAUUUCAGCAGACAAGGCUCCUAGUGAGGAUUGUCUGUCUGACCAUAGGAAGACAAGCCGUGACUCCAUCUCAGGCAGUAGCAAACCCCAGGCACAGGAUUUCUUCAUCCAGCUUCUCUCCCCAGCUGCCAAAUACAUUUUCCUCUUGUUUUCAUUAAACUUCUGGUUUCUGCUCCUGUCAAUAUCAUCAUACCAACAUGCACGCACACACAUGCUCAUCACCAGCAGCCCCCCAGAGGUGCUCUGGGCCAUCGUCUUGAAUUUUAAAAACUAGUAUUGUCCCCUUGAUGAAGAAAUACCCAGGGGAGAGAUGUUGUUUAGGGCACGCUUCAGGCCGAACUGUUGUUCCUAAGAAAUGGAGCAACUCAGAUUCCUUCCUAGGGAAUGGGAGCUCUAGGAUGGGAAAAAUGACCCCGUGCACUGGUAGUGACCGCUCAGCCAUGGAGGAAAGCCGGUCAAGUGGGCAGAGAAGAUGGCUGAGGCCCAGAUGUCUACAGAGCCCUUGGACAUGGGAUUUGGGUGGCUCCUGCCCCUGGUCUGAUUCUGCCCACUUGACCCUACUGGGUAGCCAUAGUGAUGCUGGAGGGAUAAGGCUGAAGCACUUUGCCUUUGAUUCUUGCUUCCCUUUUAUGUGGGAGCGGCUAACAGAGUGUGAAAGUGCACUCUUUAAUGUACAAUCUACCCGGAAAGAUCAAUGGCAGCUUAACAUGCAUUUCUGUCUAAUAUUCACUUUGUCAGGUCUUUGUAAUAAAAAAUGCCGGUUUUAAUGAAGUGCAUCAAAAUGAGGAGAUUCAUGGCCAGCCUGUAUGCUUUUAUCACCAUUGCCUCCCCUUGAGCUGUCAGCGCACAAGGCAUUCUGUGGAAGCAAGGCAGAGGGUCAUCAUUUUAGGAAUCACACACACACGCAAAUUCUCCAUUUUCGCAAAGAUCCAUGAUACUGGAUAUAUUUCAAUUUAAUGCACAUUAUUUCUAUAAUAUGAGAUCAUCCCAGAGAUGUAUCUUUGGGAGGAACUUGCAUUUAGGAACCAGGUAGAUGGACAUGAUGGGGAGAAGACACCUGGUGUGGGCUAGCUUGUGUCCCACCAAAUUCCUAUGCUGAAGUCCUAACUCCCAGAACCUCAGAAUUUGACCGUAUUUACAGAUAGGGUCUUUAAAGAGAUGAUUAAGUUAAAAUGAGGCCAUUAGGGUGGGCCCUAAUCCAAUGAUUUGUGUCUUCUAAAAGGAGAUCAGGGCAUCCAGAGGCACCAGGGGUACAUGUGCACAGUGGACCGGCCAUGUGAACAGACCACAAGCCAAGCAGAGAGGCCUCAGAGAGGGCCAACCCUGCCUACGCUGCUGAUGUUGGACUUCCAACCUCCAGAACAGUGAGAAAAGAAGUUUCUGUUGCGUAAGCCACCUAAGCUGUGGUGAUUUGUUAUGGCAGCCUGAGCAAACUAGCGAACGGUCUCAAGCUUGAGAUUGGAGCAGUGAGCGCUAAGCUCAUUCUUAAGGAGAAUAAAAUGAUCUGAGGGCAUCUGUAACCAUGUAUGCCCUGGAGUGAGGUCGAUGGGGAUGUCUGGAAACUUCUGGAAAACAGAGAGCUUUAACUGUUGCCACUGGUAAGAGGGAACAUGCUAUGUGAGGAGGCUGUGCUUAGAACUGUGGGUAAAAUGUUUGCAUAGGUAGGAAGGUGCUCGGGUUGUGUUUGUUGAAUGUUACCAAAUGAACCGAAAGACAGCAUAGCAUGGCUGUCAGAAGUACAGACACUGGGACCCAGUCUCUACCACGCACCAGCUAGGUGACCUCUCUGACUUCAUGGACUAUUGUGAGGAUUAAAUUACUUAAUUCUUUUAGUGCUUAGAACAAUGCUAGGCACACAGAGAAUGUUCUCUAAAUGUUUGUUAAGGGCAGAAGUGGCCUGGACUCAAGAGGAGGAAGUCUGUGGCACCAGCUGCUCAUAUAAUCCCAGAGGCCCCCGGAUGCCCAGCAAGCUCUUUAUCACCCAGGUCACCAAGCCCUUCCCACCACCACUGUGUCCCCUGACUCAUCCCUUCCCUCUGUUCCCUGGCACUGCUUCCCUAUGGGUUCCCAUCGACUCAUCUAGACUCUUCUCCAUAUCUUUCUUCCGGUCUCCUUGCCCCUAGCAUCAUCUUCUCAUUCUCUUACACCCUUCUGCCAAAGUAAAUUUAAGGAUCAUGGUCCCUUUCUGCUUAUGAUCUCCAUCAUCUAAGGGCUUGGGGAGGAAGCAUGGCAGUGUUGGUGGGUUGGUUAUGCCAUUUCAUGAGAUGAUGUGUUAAGUGUUGUAGACAUGCUGGCUUUUCAGGGGUGGCAGAAAUACAAUCAAGCUCUUUGGCACAAAAUCCUGAUCUUUUGUAUACUCUUCUGGCUUUAUUUCCUAUUGUUUCCCAUUACUGGAAGUUUCUGCCACACAAAUGCAAAAUUCUUACAGUCCUAGGAACAUGCAGUUCUGGGAGGGCACCACUGUGCCUUUGCACCUGCUGGACCCUGUAUCCUGAAAUACUCUUUUCCUUCUUUUAUUAAACUGGUAAGUUUAUGUUCAUCUUUCAAAAUCCAGAUUUCUCCCUUUAAGAAAGCAAUUACUCUUUGUUGAAAUAGAAUUGAGAGCUCCCAUGUAUUCUUUUUCCUAUCCUGGAUGAGAAAAAGAAAACAAACCUUGUUCUUAUCGAACUUACUUAUUGUCAAUACCUAAAUAUGAAAAGGAGAAUCCAAGAAAUAAUCAGCAAUUUGAGCAAUUUAAGGACUAAAACUGGCAUUUUUUUACAGAGUAUCUAACUUCCCCUCAAACCUCCUAGUCCUAUAAUAAAAUGAUAUUUAAAGGUGCAGUGCAAGUUACCUCUGCAGGAUAAGGGGAACAUUAAAGCCAAUGGUAUGGACAAAAAAGAGAGCUGAACAGGAACACCAAAUGCAGCCCAAGUAGGAGAAUCAAGGGAAUGUCAUUUUGCCCAGUGGCCACAAAUUUAUCAACACACCUAUGUCUGGUAACCUUCUAUCUUGUUCUUGCUCCAUUCCAUCCUUGGGAAUUGAGGACAAGAGGUGAGAGUCCUCACUGACCACCCAACUGUCUCCCAGAGCCUAGAAGCAGCUUAGUGCAUGCCAUGAUCACAGGACAAGUGGUCUCAGGAAAACCACAGUCUCUCUGGGCAUAGGUUUACGCAUCUAUAAAAUGGGCUUGCUAGAGUCUAAUUGACAAGAUUUCCCAGAGCACAAGUAGAUGAUGCAUGGCAAAAGUACUUUCCUAACUCAGAACGCUGUCCAGGUUUCUAUGUUGCUUUUGGGGGGAACUGCCAUGUAGGUAACUUUGGUGCUCCCCACUCCGCUUUCCCAUCUUGAUAUCUCAUUGAGAUAUUAUACUUUGAGCACCUGAUCCAGAGUCCCCAGUGUCCUUUUGCUGCUUAGAGAUCUCCGAAGGUUGGCCCAAGGUUGGUGCUCUUUGGGCCUCCCAUCUUUGGACCUGUCUGAAAUAAUCCACAUUCCACACUUUUUCCCCAUCCUCCCAAAGCUACACCUCACAAUCAAAAACCUAACAGUCUCUUCAGGGGUGCUGGGAAGUGGAGGGAUUUAUCUGUUAACUGAUUUUGCAAAAGCAUUAUCAGGUAGUAGCAUUGUGUGCAACCUCUCUUCUGUGAGCAAUAGAGAUAUAUUACCUGACAUAUUACCAGAGCCCUAAAUGGUGACCCUUUGGGAAUUUGAACUCUGGAAGCUCAGAAUGUGGGUGAGGGCAGCAAACUAAUAACUAUUGGUCUCUAGAGACCCAUAACAGCACCAGGGAGCGACUAUUAUCUAGCCCUAUGAAUAAAUUGUAGGAUUGUAUAAUAGAAUUACUAGUUCCUUCCUCUAACUACGUUUUAAGGAGAGUAUAAUGAAGAGGUAGGGCUUCCUGGGAAAGAAGAGCCAAAAGAAUGGCUCUUAAAUGUUUCUGUAUUUUGAUGAUAUGCUAGCAAAAUAUAAGGGAAAAUAGCUGCAAGGGUAAAUGAGAUAAUAACAACCAUGGAUCAUUUUUAGUUCCUGGGAAGAAAAGCACCAUAUAGAUUUGAGGUGUUAUUAUUAUGCAUACAAUAUAUAUAUAGACAUUGUAUAUUUAUUCAGAGUGAAGCUCACAUAUGUCAUUCCCACUAAUAACAUUUCUUUUCUAGCUCCCGCGUAAGAGGAGAUAUGCCAUUUUCAUAUGUUCCACACAUACUCAGAGGAACCUGCUUAGAAUAUUUUUGCUGAUGAAAUUUUCCAGGUUGUAACAUUUAUCUUUUUGAAGAGCUUGCUUCCUGCAACCUCACGUGGAGAUCUGUGCUUUUACCUCUCAUUGUGAUGCUAUCUACAUGUGGAUUUUUGUGUCAACUGCUUAUCUUAGCCAUUAACCAAUUUUUUUGUCCGUUUGUAUUGUUUAUAAAGUGUUGGGCAUACAUAGUGUUUCGCCAAUGCAUGGAGACCUGGCUCCCUGCCCCAUGGAGUGCACCAUCUAAUAAAAAUGGACAAGCCCAGAACAAUAGAAGUAACACAGAUAUGAGACCCAGAAAGAUGUUGCUGGCUUGGGAUUGAGGGUGGGCCAGCCAGGGAUUAAGUGGAGGAUCUGAAGAAAGACAGGAAAGCAUUUGGGAGAAAAUUAGAUGGAGGAUGUUCUAACAGAGGCACGCAGGUACUACAUAUACUCAGUCAGCUUUUAUACAAACACGGGGCUGGAAGAAGGCGGUACAGGUUCCCUGUCCAUUCUAUCUCCCUGAGCAGAGUGUUUUACUUCCUUCCUCAGUCCUUCGGCCUCUGAUUGAUCAUUCUUGGGGGUGGGGACAGGCCAGUUAAGUGUGGAUCUUUGCAGAGCAAGUGCUUAAUCUCCAGCUGGCUUCCUUUGCCACCCAGCAUGCUUCUGAGUGGCUCACUGCCUACGCUGUCACUUGCUGGGUGCUCGAAGAAUGCAAAUUCACUUGGGCAAAGCAUAAUAGAGAAAUUAAAUAUGCUGCAAAUAGAGGGGCACAUAUUUUAUAUUUUAUUCUCAACUAAAAAUAAACCAUUUGGGGUUAUGUGUAAUUGCUCUCUUGGAUUUUUCACUUCAUUGGCAUUUCUCUUUAGAAUGGAUAAUUAGAAACUCCAAGCUUAAUUUAUACAUACAGUCUUACACAGUUUUCAAGUGAGAAAACUUGCAUCAACUUUCAAUAUGUGUGCAUAUAUCGUCCACAUGGAGCAACAUUAGUAUGGGAGGAAGAGAAGGAGGAGGAGGAAUGGGCAGGCAGGACUCGGGUGAAUUUAGAAGGAAAGCAGACUGCAAUCGAGGGCAGAAAUGAAGUGCAGGCCAGACACUGAUUCGUGGUCUGACCUUGGACAGAAUCACCUUAGCUCUCUGUGCUUCCAUUUCUCUGUCUGAUUAUGUGCUUCGUAAACAUUCAGUUACCUUGGAGGUGUGGUUGAAGAGGUAGGGCAGAGGCAACCCUGGGAAUCAUUUUGUUGUCUGUGAAUGAAUUCUAUCCAGUCCAGCAUCCCUUGGGAGCACCUGGUCUCCCUAUAUUAAAAAAAAAAUCCACUAUCUGCACUUUCCUUCAGACAGACUCCAGGGUGACUGUGUGUGACAGGAGGGAGGAUCCAUGCCUGGCUCAGUUUCCUGCCGCUGUGGAAAGGACAUCAGGGGACCUUGUUUAUAUAAGAAGAUAAUGUGGCUGCCUCCCUGUGCCUCAGAACUGACUGUGACCCGAGGACUCCUCCUACACGUCUCUGGACGGAUCCUUGGCUCCAUUCUCCAGCUGCACAGUCAGGAGCUUGGAUGUGCCCUGAAGCCUGUACUCGCUGCAGGAGAGCUUCAUAAAGUUGAGAAGGCAGCAAGUGGCCCAGAGAAUGUGAUGAGCAGAGGGAGGAACGAACAUAGAAACAAAAAACAAACAAAAAACAAAACAAAACAAAACAAAAAAGCAAGCAAGCAACCAAGCAAGAAGGAAAGAAAGAAAGAAAAAGAGGUAGGGGUGGAGUUUGCCCUGCUGUCUCCACAGCCUCCUUUACAGUGUAUUCCUCCUCUCUGGUCAUAAUGACUUGACCCAUGUUUACCGAAUGCUAACAUUAUGCCCAGCACCGUGCUGAGUACUUUACGUGACAUUCAUAGCCAAGUUCCCACAGGUUGUAUGAGGAUUUUAGAGGAAGAAUUAGAGAGGUUAAGAAGCUCACCUGAAAUCAGAUGCUAGUAAAUGAGAGGCCAGAUUUGAAUUCAGAACAUAUCCUCCAAAGCCACUAUUCAUACUGCCAUUUUUCUGACCACCCUCUUUUCUCCAAGUGCCUAAUGGCUCAAAUUGCCCCCUGGCCUUUUUUAGCUCUUUGGGUCUCAUUGCACUACCUCAUGCUAGAGGCAUAUCCUACAUCACUUCUUAUCCCUUUUAUUAAUCCAGACUUACAUGGUUCUGUAUUUAUUCACCCAAAGGUUUCCUUUUUCUGACAGAAGAAACUAAUUUCUACUAGUGUUAAUGACUACCAAGGAGUAAUCUUUAACUUUAAACUGAAAACCUUCUGCGUUGUCACAGUGGAUUAGCAUUCUUUAAGACCAAGGAGAGAUAAAUUUAUAAGCUUCAUGCAUUAUCUGGACCAGUGAGAGAGAAAAUGUGGGGUUAGGGAAAGGAGAAUGGGGCAUUCAUCCUUGCACCCUGUGAAUAACAUUAUCUUAUGAGCCUUAUAUAUAAUAAAUAUUCAAUAAAUGUUUGCUGAAAAAUUA